RNAcentral lists this ribosomal RNA (254 nucleotides) under uncultured bacterium. RNAcentral describes it as "partial 16S ribosomal RNA". It matches the Rfam family "Bacterial small subunit ribosomal RNA", at positions 524 to 776 of the family's 1533-position model. The record is from RNAcentral.
UACGAGUGCCCCAAGCGUUAUCCGGAAUCAUUGGGCGUAAAGGGUGUGUAGGCGGCAUGGUUAGUCUCUUGUCAAAGCUCCUGGCUUAACCGGGAAAAUGCAAGGGAAACGGCCAUUGCUAGAGGAUGUGAGAGGUGAAUGGAACUCAUGGUGUAGGGGUGAAAUCCGUUGAUAUCAUGGGGAACACCAAAAGCGAAGGCAAUUCACUGGCGCACUCCUGACGCUGAAACACGAAAGCGUGGGUAGCGAAUGGG